CGGGAAGACAAAAAUCCUUCAAUUUAGACGUCGGUUCUGAACGUAAGCGACAUCUACAUUCCUGUAAUUGAUUAUUUUCACCAAAUUCGAGGGUUUUAGACGUCGGCUAGGAGGGACACCGAUGUGAACUACCCUGAUAGGAAAUCAAGUGUCAAUCUUUUUAGCUUCUUUAAGAAGAAUAGACGUCGGAUCCCGAUCAAACACUGACGUCUAUAGACGUCGGUUUCUGGCGCAACCGACGCCCAAUUUCAUUUUAAAUAGACCGCAAACCCUUCUAACCACUCAGUUUCUGAUCGCGUCUUCAUCUCUUCUCCUUUUUCUCUGCUUCUCCUCUUCUUUUACUCCCUUGCGCACCUCUACUUUUUAUCUCUUCCGGCAUUGCAUUGUAUUUUCCCAUAACGUCAUUGUCUUCAUCCUCUCAUUUUUCUCUCUUCAUCCUAGGUGCGUGGUUUUUCUUAUGCUUACCGUUUAAACUUUCUUUAGUUUUUUUAUCGAUUAUCUUGUCGUUCAACUGAAUAAAAUUUGCCUUUUUUGUGUUGUGUUUUAGUGCAGUUUUGAUCCACUCUUUUGGUAACAUAGUGCAACAUUCUCCCUUUGCUAGCUUCCUC
RNAcentral lists this long non-coding RNA (608 nucleotides) under Vigna radiata. Its description in RNAcentral is "long non-coding RNA (VRAD_LNC005667)". Lineage: Eukaryota; Viridiplantae; Streptophyta; Magnoliopsida; Fabales; Fabaceae. The record is from RNAcentral.